UUGAACGCUGGCGGCAGGCCUAACACAUGCAAGUCGCGCGGAUGAAGGGAGCUUGCUCCUGGAUUCAGCGGCGGACGGGUGAGUAAUGCCUAGGAAUCUGCCUGGUAGUGGGGGAUAACGUCCGGAAACGGGCGCUAAUACCGCAUACGUCCUGAGGGUGAAAGUGGGGGAUCUUCGGACCUCACGCUCUCAGAUGAGCCUAGGUCGGAUUAGCUAGUUGGUGGGGUAAAGGCCUACCAAGGCGACGAUCCGUAACUGGUCUGAGAGGAUGAUCAGUCACACUGGAACUGAGACACGGUCCAGACUCCUACGGGAGGCAGCAGUGGGGAAUAUUGGACAAUGGGCGAAAGCCUGAUCCAGCCAUGCCGCGUGUGUGAAGAAGGUCUUCGGAUUGUAAAGCACUUUAAGUUGGGAGGAAGGGCAGUAAGUUAAUACCUUGCUGUUUUGACGUUACCAACAGAAUAAGCACCGGCUAACUUCGUG
This 483-nucleotide ribosomal RNA is filed under the name uncultured bacterium. Its description in RNAcentral is "partial 16S ribosomal RNA". It matches the Rfam family "Bacterial small subunit ribosomal RNA", at positions 30 to 507 of the family's 1533-position model. The record is from RNAcentral.